GGCUCUCGUGGGUCUCCAGCUUGCUGACUGUAGAUCUUGGGACUAAACAGCCUCCAUACUCAUGUUGACGGAAACAUGCCUUGGUUCACAGAGAUUAUAAGGAUUAUGGAACACAAAGAACAUAAAACUACUUAGCAUUUAUGCUAAACCCCUCAAUAAACAAAGUAUGUCGUGGGCCACUUCCAGUGCAGAAGAAAGCCUGACCUUUGGAGAGGGGCUAUAAAAAGACAACCAAAUCUGCUCCUUCUUUCCCCACAAUGCACCUUUCACAAAGGCAGAGAAGCGAAGGAUCUCUGUGUUCAAGUGAAAGGUACACAAAGGCAACUUGGCAUUUUGUCAAGCUGAUGGCCAGAGCACAGAGCGGCAAGCAAGAUGCUGCUGAGACUGGGACAGCCUGAUGUGGCCAGGGCCGGAAUGGAUCACUGCAUUUCUGUGGUUGAGCUCAGUCGGUUGUUUCUUGGGACCAUAUUGAAGGGAAAUAGCAAUCUUCGAAUAUUAGUCGCACGCAGCAGGUGGGAACUGGAUAGACUGCGGUGAGGAGGAGAUUGUAAGCUUCCAUUUCACACUUACCCACGAGCCAUGUGCUCGAUAGUCAGUGGUAGAUGGGUGGUUUUCCUGCAAUGGAUGUUUAUAUUGUGACUCUCAUAUCUCCCCCACCAACUCUCUCUCUCCCCCUAUUCCCUGCUCCCUCAUCUUUCUGCCAGAGCACAGGCAUAUCUGUCUAGCAUUCGUGGGUUCAGAAAAGUUCUCCCACCUUGGCACAGGCUUCUCUUCUCCCCAACUUUCCCGGGCCAGUAAAAUUAAUUCAGCAAAUAUUUAUUUAUUGAAUGGUUCUUAUGCCAGGCACUGAGGAGAUAAUGGGGCACAAAGCAGAUAAAAACCCUGCUUAUGUUCCAGUGGAAGAAGUAAGUGAGUUGGAACUCUGACCUAGGAUCGCCCACUUGUCAUUUUGCUAAGUUAGGACUUAAGGAUAGAAACAAACCUCUCAUGAUCAUUGUUGCUAUCAGUUUCUCCCUAGAAGACAAUGGUUAUUUUAACAUCCAAAAGAGUC
Long non-coding RNA from Ailuropoda melanoleuca (giant panda), 1051 nucleotides. RefSeq lists it as uncharacterized. The record is from RefSeq and is a predicted model, not a curated record. The transcript has 4 exons. Lineage: Eukaryota; Metazoa; Chordata; Mammalia; Carnivora; Ursidae.